This 336-nucleotide unclassified non-coding RNA is filed under the name Hevea brasiliensis (rubber tree). Lineage: Eukaryota; Viridiplantae; Streptophyta; Magnoliopsida; Malpighiales; Euphorbiaceae. The record is from RNAcentral.
CCUUUACACUCCCCAAUAUAAUUUUUAGGUAAUUAAACAACUUGCGUAGCACCAGUAGAUGUCUUAUGGAUGGUAUCAUCGGAGUACAUACCAUGCUUGGUGGAGUCAUAUGUUUCACCAUCGCCCCAUAAUGCAUAAGCCUCUUCGCCGUGCACGGCAUCAUCUCCUAUCAACAGCUGCUCCUCCGACAUACGCAAUGGGAUUACCAAAUUUAUCACCACACAAAUGAUUGAGGUGAUAACCAAAUUCCACCCAAUGAUGAAUGCACCGCCAGCUAGUUGUUUGAGGAAUUGAACUCCACCGGAGCCACCAUAAACGCCACCUCUAGAAUUUGCA